Molecule: transfer RNA, 82 nt
Organism: Colletotrichum sublineola
Lineage: Eukaryota; Fungi; Ascomycota; Sordariomycetes; Glomerellales; Glomerellaceae
Rfam family: tRNA
About the family: Transfer RNA (tRNA) molecules are approximately 80 nucleotides in length. Their secondary structure includes four short double-helical elements and three loops (D, anti-codon, and T loops). Further hydrogen bonds mediate the characteristic L-shaped molecular structure. tRNAs have two regions of fundamental functional importance: the anti-codon, which is responsible for specific mRNA codon recognition, and the 3' end, to which the tRNAs corresponding amino acid is attached (by aminoacyl-tRNA synthetases). tRNAs cope with the degeneracy of the genetic code in two manners: having more than one tRNA (with a specific anti-codon) for a particular amino acid; and 'wobble' base-pairing, i.e. permitting non-standard base-pairing at the 3rd anti-codon position.
Source: Rfam
GCCUUGUUGGCUAAGUGGUAUAGCGUCUCACUAGUAAGCUGGUGACAUGAGAAGAUCGGCGGUUCGAUUCCGCCACGAGGCA